GCAGCUCUUUGCGUCAAGAAUACAAGUAAAAGCACACCAAAGAUAUAAACAUCAGUUCUUUCUGAACUUCGACGUGAGUUUCGGUGAGUAGGGUCCAUGUACGCCGAUGUCCCUAUUGCGAAAUUGUCUUGAACAUACAAUUGGUCAGGUGGAAUGGUUAUGGAGAAUGAAAAGUCGAAGAGUUUGGGAACAUAGUCAUCGUCCAAUAAAAUGCAGGUGGGUCUCAGAUUCCUAUGAACGAUGGGCGUUGGAAAGGCAGUAUGUAGGUAUGUAAGUGCACUAGCAAGCUGCUUUGCAAUACGCAGUCUAGUUUUCCACGGUAAUAAUUCAUUAUCCACUGCUAAACUUCCAUCAUUGUUGAGACCUCCCUUUCCUGCAUUUUCAAACACCAAAGCUGGUGUAUCAAACUCUAAGCAGCAGCCUAAUAAUUUCAAGGAAUUCUUAUGGGCGCUCAUCUGCAUUGAUAUGAUAAUAUCACGAAUAGCCCAGUCGACGAUAUAAUGCUUCUUAAUUAUAACUGUUCGGUCAUCUAGAAUACCCCUGUAAAUGUCGAAGUAUGUUCCAUCUGUAAUAAAGCAAGAGCGAUCAAAGUUGUUGGUAACUCUAUUGAGCUCAGCAGCAGAGUAACAACGAAUAGGAUGAGAUUUUCCAUCACAAGAAGCAAUUAGAUCCUCUAGUAACAUGCUUCCAUUCUUCAAGAAUGAUCUCUUUCUUUCCUCCUUUUCCUCCUUUCGCUUUAUACGUGGAAUGAUUGAGAACCUGAUAUAUAUGUACACACACGAAAAUUUUGGGCUUUCGUCAUAUUCAUGGAUUACUUUGAUUUACAACAGAAUUUUGGGCUUCAGCCGCACGAGAAUUUUAACUUACCAAAAAAACCUUGAAGGAAAGGAAAGCUAUAUACUUUUUAGACUUGAAAAAAAAAAACUUACAAGGCUUUGGAUGCCAUUGUUUACACUUGAAAUUUCUCUGUUUAGCACACAGGCCCCUUAGAACUGGACUCGGAUUGCCCCAAACUAAACUGUAAUUUGUUGAUAUCUCCUUCCCUGUAUGCUGCAGAUUUCGUACUCAAGCAUUAGUUUAGCUCGUGAGUUUCAGCUUCUCUGAGAAUUCUGUAACAGUUUCCAAGUUUAUUGAUGAAGCUUUGCGGGGCCAAUGCCCUAUCAUGAUUGGUAGGAAUAAUCUGCAGUGGGACCUAAAAACCCAACGUUUUAAAUUUAUUUUAGAAAGAGUUUUUGCCGCAUACUACUGAAACACCAUCAGAGCUCAAAUUAUAAAUAUGCAAAUCAAUAUUCUUUUUCAUCGUGAGACUAUCUUAGCAUUUUAAAAAGAUAUUUGUUUCUUUUUGCUUGUCCAAAUCUAUAAACAUUUGUUUAAUCAAAUUGGGAAGAUGCAUGGCAGCUGCGCCCAACUGAAGGGUAGACCUGUUGACUUGACUUGACUCCACUUGAUUCUUUUUAGAUUUAUAACGCGUUUGCUUGGAGAUCAUGGGACGAAUCUAUUCGGUGGAGUUGGAAUUUCCAAGUUGUAUCUCUAGAAACCACUCAUUAAUUAUUCGUUUGUACUCCUAAAAAGUAUAUAUCAUCACCCUCUUCCUCGUCAUCGUCUUUUCCGUGUUCCUUCCUCCCCCAAACAAUCACCUUUUGAGUUGAAAGAAAAAUUGUAAUAUCAAGAAAACCUCAAAAGGCCCAUUAUUAAGAGCACUUCCACCCGUGAGCUCAGCCAGACACAGCCUGACAUCAGUGAAUGAAUUUGUUUUUUGAAAAAUUACCAAAAAAAUUCAUUUGAGAAAGAGUAUAGUUUUGAAGUUUAUUGCUAUGGUUAAGUCAACGAUGCCAUUGCCAUCGAAUGAUCAAUGUCCAGUGGGGCCGACCAAAGCUAUUUACACGAAAUUACUAUUUUCCCUUUUCAUUAUCAGACACAAAGAAAAACAUAAUUACUCAAUAACUUACAAACAAAGAAACAAGAAGAACUUGCCUUGAAAUUGCUAGAGCACCAAAAAUAUACACAACAGAGCCCCACACAACCAACAGCUUCGGCUGAAUAAACAGAGCAAAACGGGAAGGUGCAUGGCAAAUAAGUUGUCCCAUGUCGGCUUGACUUUGCAUAGUUAAUUAGAGAGAAUUACUUGGAAAUGAUAGACUUCUCAAUUCUCAGGAGUUCUUUCGCCACAUCCAUCAUAUCUGGCCUUACUUCACUUUCUUCUUGGGUGCAUGACAAUGCCAGUGCUAGGAAAUCAUGCAAGUGCUGUCGUGCUUGCUCAUCUCCCCCUACCUCCCCUAAGAUUUUAGGGUCCGCAAUUGUUUGAAUCUGCCCAAUAUCUGAAGCUUUCACAUAUGCAAUAAUUGAUAGGUAUUCUCCUGCCUCAUAUGCAUCCACAGCCUUUUGUCCCGUUAAAAAUACAAGUAAAAGCACACCAAAACUAUAAACAUCACUUUUUUCUGAAAUGUAACCAGACUUCAUAUAGGAAGGAUCAAGGAAACCAAAUGUUCCUUUCACCUCAUCAUCAGCAUGUGAUUUCAUGGGAGGAAUGGUUAUGGAGAGUCCGAAGUUAGAGAGUUUCGGAGCAUAGUCAUGGUCCAAGAAAAUAGAACUGGGUUUUAGAGCCCUAUGAAUUAUGGGUCUGGGAAAGGCGGUAUGUAAAUAUGUGAUUGCACUAGCAAGUUGAAUUGCAAUGCGCAGUCUAGUUUUCCAUGGUAAUGAGGAUUGGUUUUCAGUAGUCCUUAAACCUCCUUGAUCGUUGAGAACUCCUUCUAUUGCAUAUUCAUGCACCAAAGCUGGUAUAGGGAUCUCUAAGCAGCAGCCCAAGAGUUUCAAAACAUUCUUAUGGUUGCUCAUCUGCAUCGAUAUGAUAAUGUCACGGAUGGCCACGGACCUAGCUUCAUCCCCAGUCCCCAUGAACUUCUUAAUGAUGAUUGAUCGGCCGUCUAGGAAACCCCUGAACAUUUUGUAACCACCAUAAACAUGUAUAGAAUGAUGAAAUUUAUACUUCGGUGCUGAAAAAUCUUGUAUAAUGCGAGAAGGAUCGAAGUUGUUGGUUGCCCUGAUGAGAUCAGCAGCAGAGUAACACCGAAUAGGAUUAGAUUUUCCAUCACAAGAAGCAAUGAGAUCCUCUAGUAAGAUGCUUCCAUUAUCCAAGAAUGAUAUCUCUCUUUCCUUCUUGUUACUGCUCAAACAUGGAACCAAUGGGAAGAACCUGAUACAAAUAUAUAUACAUAUAGGAAAAACACAAAACAGAUUAAUUAAAUUAUUAUAAUGAUGAAAAUGAUUUUGCCACUGGCAUAACACCUUCCAGAUAUCACCCAUUUCCUUUCAUUUUCUCUUUUGAAUUUGACAUGACAGUCUACGAGAUCAAAUCUACGGAUUUAUUUCCUCACAAAUGAACUUAAGGCUUCAGCCUUCAUAAAUUUUUUGAUCUAGCCUUCAUUAAUUUGAUUAGUUUCACUAAUAUCAAAUAUUAGAAGCAAAAAUGAAAAUAAUUAUAGGAAUAUCUCAAAUUAGUUCUAAAUCAAAAUAAUCCAUAUAUAAGGAUAAAUAAUCAGAACUUACAAGGUUUUGGAUGGCAUUCUUCACUUUUUGCUGUCUAGCACCAAGUCCCCUCAGAAUCGGAAUCAGAUUGCUCAAAAUAAACAGCAAUUUUGUUGAUUCUUCCGCCCAGAUCCAUUGCAGAUAUCAUGUGCAAGCAGCUGUUUAUUUCGUUAGUUUCAUUUUCUUUUACAGGAAUCUUGCAUUUGAGAAGGAAGAUAGGUUUGAAGCCUUAUUGGUAUGUGUAGAAAGGUCAACAAUAACAUGCGCCGCCCUCAUAUAUUUGACUUAUAGGACGACUUACUAACCAAGUUGGCAAACUGCAAGCCAUCUAGCCAAGUUGUAUAUCAAGAAACCAUUCAUUAUUCAGAUUAUUUUUAUUUAUCUUCACCCUUUUCCUAGUCAUUAUGUUUUCUGUUUUUCAUUCCUUCCUCCAAACCCCAUACAAUCACCAUUUGAUUUGAACAAAAACACGCAGCAUCAAGAAAUCGUCAAAUAAUGAGAAAAAUAACUUGCCUUGAAAUCGGUUGAGCAUGCAUAAGAUAUACACAAAGCAAACUAGGUAGCUGCAGGUUCACUAGUAGCCAAGCUAUAGCUAGCUAAGGCAAGAUAUUUCCACCCUGUCUACAGGAUACCAAACGGGCCCUUAUCAUCAACUCAUUAAUAGGUAAAAAAAAACUACAGCUAGCUAUAGCUAAGGCAAGAUAGACUUGUCAAUUCGUACAAGCUCUUUGGCCACAUCAAUCAUAUCUGGCCUUGCUUCAUUUUCGUCUUGGAUGCAUAACAAUGCCAGUGCUAGAAAAUCCUGCAGUUGUUGUUGUGCUUGCUCAUCUCCCACGACUUCCUCAAGGAUUUUAGGGUCCGCAAUUGUCUCUAUUUGAAUCUGUCCACCAGGAACAUUAAGUUUCGAAUCUCCAAUAAGGAGUUCAAUUUCUGCUCCAUGUCGUCUUGAUGCAGCUCUUUGCGUCAAGAAUACAAGUAAAAGCACACCAAAGAUAUAAACAUCAGUUCUUUCUGAACUUCGACGUGAGUUUCGGUGAGUAGGGUCCAUGUACGCCGAUGUCCCUAUUGCGAAAUUGUCUUGAACAUACAAUUGGUCAGGUGGAAUGGUUAUGGAGAAUGAAAAGUCGAAGAGUUUGGGAACAUAGUCAUCGUCCAAUAAAAUGCAGGUGGGUCUCAGAUUCCUAUGAACGAUGGGCGUUGGAAAGGCAGUAUGUAGGUAUGUAAGUGCACUAGCAAGCUGCUUUGCAAUACGCAGUCUAGUUUUCCACGGUAAUAAUUCAUUAUCCACUGCUAAACUUCCAUCAUUGUUGAGACCUCCCUUUCCUGCAUUUUCAAACACCAAAGCUGGUGUAUCAAACUCUAAGCAGCAGCCUAAUAAUUUCAAGGAAUUCUUAUGGGCGCUCAUCUGCAUUGAUAUGAUAAUAUCACGAAUAGCCCAGUCGACGAUAUAAUGCUUCUUAAUUAUAACUGUUCGGUCAUCUAGAAUACCCCUGUAAAUGUCGAAGUAUGUUCCAUCUGUAAUAAAGCAAGAGCGAUCAAAGUUGUUGGUAACUCUAUUGAGCUCAGCAGCAGAGUAACAACGAAUAGGAUGAGAUUUUCCAUCACAAGAAGCAAUUAGAUCCUCUAGUAACAUGCUUCCAUUCUUCAAGAAUGAUCUCUUUCUUUCCUCCUUUUCCUCCUUUCGCUUUAUACGUGGAAUGAUUGAGAAUGUGAAGUUGAGGUUCCACCCUAAAACCAAUUGGCAAUGGGGGUAGUAGCCCAACUCCUUAUAAGUCCUUGCAAGGUUUCACAACUUUCCAAUGUGGCACUCUUUACCUUCACAUUCUCACAAUAUGAUUUUUGGUCUUCGUAAUUUGGGUGAAGUUCUACUUUGCUGCAUUUUCAUGCACCAGAGCUGGGAGAGAAAACUCUAAGCAGCAACCUAAUAAUUUCAAAGCAUACUUAUGGGUGCUCAUCUGCAUUGAUAUGAUAAUAUCACGAAUAGCAUAAGACCUAGCUUCAUCCUUGUUGAUGUAUUCCUGUGUGAUGUACUUCUUAAUGAUAAUUGUUCGGUCGUCUAGAAUACCCCUGAACAUUUGGUAGCAUGGUGAAACGUCUUCCAUAAUAAUGCAAGAAGGAUCGAAGUUGUUGGUAGCCCUCAUGAGCUCAGCAGCAGAGUAACAACGAAUAGGAUUAGAUUUGCCAUCACAAGAAGCAAUGAGAUCCUCUAAUAACAUGCUUCCAUUGUCCAAGAAUGAUCUCUCGCUUUCCUUCUUGCUCAAACGUGAAACCAACGGGAAGAACCUGAUACAAAUAUAUAUAAUGUUGAAAUGGAUCUGGCCAAUGACAGAACACCUUCCAGAUAACUUGAAUACCCCAUUUUCCUUUCAUUUUUGCAUUUGAAUUUCACAUGAAAGUUUAUGAGAUCGAAUCUAAGGUUUUCUUUCCUUACAAAUGAACUGUUAGACUUCAGCCUCAUGAAAAUUUUGAUUUAGCAUACAAGAUCAAAUCUUUGACAUCAAUUAAAAUUUAAGUUAAUGUUGUUGAAAAACAGUCACACAUUAUUUCGAUUAGUUGCAUAAUAUGAAGUAUCAGAAGCAAGCAAGAAUGAAAAUAAUUAUAGGAAUAUCUCAAAUCAGGUCUAAAUUGAAAACAGCCAUGCAUAAUCAUUAAAAAAAAAAAAAAAGGGGGGAACUUACCAGACUUUCCAUGACAUUGUUCGGUUUUUUGCUUUGCAGCACUAAGUCCCCUCAGAAUUGGAAUCAGAUUGCACAAAAUAAGCAGUAACUUGUUGAUUAUUUCUCCGCAGAGUCCAGUGCGGAUCUCAUGUGCAAGCAGCAAUGUAUUUCUUUAGUUUCAUUUCCUUUUACUGAAACCUUCCAUUUGAGAAGGAACAGAGGUUUGAAGUUCAGUCGUAUGCGUAGAAAGGUCAACAAAAAUUAUGUUUAUGUAUUUUUAAUAUCACAUGCGCCCUCAUAUAUUGACUUAUAGGACGACUUACUAACCAAGUUGGAAAACUGCAAGCCAUCUUACCAUACCAAGUUGCAUCUCAAUAAACCACUCAUCAUUCGUAUUCUUAAAAAAUAUCAUCACCCUUUUCCCAGUCGUUGUCUCUUCUGUUUGUCGGCCUUCCCUCCAACCCUAAUCAGCAAUUGACUUGAAAAAACAAAAAUGCAACAUAAAUAAUUCACAAAUGAUGAGCAAAAUUUAAAAUCUAAAUGAACUUACGUUGAAAUUGGUUGAGCAUACAAAAGACAUACACAAAGCAAAGCUAACUGCAAUAGUUCUAUUGUGACUCUUUCUACUAAACGCCUAGCAAGAAAGCACCUACUAAUUACAUGCCAAAAUACCCUUUCCUCCCUGUUUAUGAUCAAACGCAACCAAAAAGAAAGCACUAUUCAAAAAUACAAGGAACCUGGGUCAUUGUGACAUAAUCACAAACACCAGCCAUGCCAGAUUUUCGGGUCAAAUGUUCUUUUCUGUUCCUCAUUUCUGUUGGAAUAUUGGGUUUUUGUGUUCUAGCUUCUGGGUUUCUUGGUGGGGAAACAUGUGUUUUGGCGCCAAUGAGUUUGCUUCCUCAAUUGUACUUACUUGCCUUGAAAUUGGUUGGGCACAAAAGAAAAAAAAAAUGAAAAAAGCAAAAUCCAUUAGCCUCUCAUCAUCUAUGGCUUCGAAAGCAUUUAAAUUUUGUAACAAUUUAGAAAUGAGUACAUAAAAUGUAUGUUGGUCUUAGAUCCCUACGGCUGAUGGGCCUGAGAAACGCAGUAUGAAGAUAUAUUCAGCUGCAUUAGCAAGUUGCUUUACAAUACUCACAUGAGAGAUCUAGAUUCUAGUCUCAGCUUUUAUAUUAGCUACAAAUUAACAGGAAAAAGAACAUAAUAGUAAUGUAUUGACAACCAACAACAAAAAUCAUAAUAAAGGGUAUACAGAGUUCAACAUUAACAGAAAAGAGAGAUCAACUUCCGAACAAUAGUCAUGUUGUUGAACCCAUAUCCAAUUGUUGGUCCUUUUUUCCGCCAAUAUAUAUUUUUUAAUAACAAAUAUAGUGGAUUGAAGCUAGCUGGGCAAAAUAGACUCGUCGAUUCGAACGAGUUCCCUCGCCACAUUGCUCAUAUAUGGCCUUCCUUCAAUUUCUUCUUUAGUGCAUGACAAUACCAGUUCUAGGAAAUCAUACAACUGCUGUUCUACUUGCUCAUUUCCCCCUACCUCCUCUAAGAUUUUAGGGUCCACAAUUGCCUGAAGCUGGUAAGCAUGUGAUCUCACAUAAACAGUAAGUGAACUAUACCUUCCUUCUUCCUGUAUAAUUGGGCAAGCUCUUCGUCCCGUCAAGAAUACAAGUAAAAGCACACCAAAACUAUACACAUCAGUUUUUUCUGAGAUGCGGCCAGACAUCAUGUAUGCAGGGUCAAUGUACCCAAUUGUCCCUUUCGGAUCAUCUUCAGCAUCAGAAUACGUAGGAGGAAUGGUUAUGGAGAGUGAGAAGUUGGAGAGUUUGGGAACAUAGUUGUGGUCCAAGAAAAUACAACCAGGUUUUAGAUCCCUAUGAAUUACGGGACUGGGAAGGGCGGUAUGGAGAUACGUAACUGCACUAGCAAGCUGCUUUGCAAUACGCAGUCUAAUAUUCCAUGGUAAUAUUAAGGGUUGAUCUUCAUUGUCUCUUAAACUUCCAUCACCUUCAAGAACUCCUUUUGCGGCAUUUUCAAGCACCAGGGCGGGUAGAGGGAACUCUAAGCAGCAGCCCAAGAGUUUCAAAACAUUCUCAUGGUUGCUCAUAUGUAUUGAAACAACAAUGUCACGAAUUGCCCGGGACCGAACAUCAUCCUCAUUGCCCCCUAAGUCAUGGGGCAAGCUCCCAAUGGAGUACUUGGCAACGAUAAUCGACCGGUCGUUUAGAAAUCCCCUGAACAUUGUGUAGUUUAAAUCCUUUCGUACAAUGCAAGAAGGAUGGAAGUUGUUGGUUGCCCUGAUGAGGUCAUCAGCAGAGUAACAAUGAACAGGAUGAGAUGAACCAUCACAAGAAGCAAUUAGAUCCUCUAAUAAUUUACUCAGAUUCUUGUAGUAUGAUGACUCAAUAUCAGCAUCUCUUCC
Molecule: long non-coding RNA, 8592 nt
Filed under: Prunus persica (peach)
Lineage: Eukaryota; Viridiplantae; Streptophyta; Magnoliopsida; Rosales; Rosaceae
Description: long non-coding RNA (PPER_LNC008393)
Source: RNAcentral